This 253-nucleotide ribosomal RNA is filed under the name uncultured bacterium. RNAcentral's name for it is "partial 16S ribosomal RNA". It matches the Rfam family "Bacterial small subunit ribosomal RNA", at positions 524 to 776 of the family's 1533-position model. The record is from RNAcentral.
UACGUAGGGUGCGAGCGUUGUCCGGAAUUAUUGGGCGUAAAGAGCUCGUAGGCGGUCUGUCGCGUCUGCUGUGAAAACCCGAGGCUCAACCUCGGGCCUGCAGUGGGUACGGGCAGACUAGAGUGCGGUAGGGGAGAAUGGAACUCCUGGUGUAGCGGUGGAAUGCGCAGAUAUCAGGAAGAACACCGAUGGCGAAGGCAGUUCUCUGGGCCGUAACUGACGCUGAGGAGCGAAAGCGUGGGGAGCGAACCGG